GAUGAACGCUGGCGGCGUGCCUAAUACAUGCAAGUCGAGCGAACAGACGAGGAGCUUGCUCCUCUGACGUUAGCGGCGGACGGGUGAGUAACACGUGGAUAACCUACCUAUAAGACUGGGAUAACUUCGGGAAACCGGAGCUAAUACCGGAUAAUAUAUUGAACCGCAUGGUUCAAUAGUGAAAGACGGUUUUGCUGUCACUUAUAGAUGGAUCCGCGCCGCAUUAGCUAGUUGGUAAGGUAACGGCUUACCAAGGCAACGAUGCGUAGCCGACCUGAGAGGGUGAUCGGCCACACUGGAACUGAGACACGGUCCAGACUCCUACGGGAGGCAGCAGUAGGGAAUCUUCCGCAAUGGGCGGAAGCCUGACGGAGCAACGCCGCGUGAGUGAUGAAGGUCUUCGGAUCGUAAAACUCUGUUAUUAGGGAAGAACAAAUGUGUAAGUAACUAUGCACGUCUUGACGGUAGCUAAUCAGAAAGCCACGGCUAACUACGUG
This 497-nucleotide ribosomal RNA is filed under the name uncultured bacterium. RNAcentral describes it as "partial 16S ribosomal RNA". It matches the Rfam family "Bacterial small subunit ribosomal RNA", at positions 28 to 507 of the family's 1533-position model. The record is from RNAcentral.